UUCUUGAAACUGCAACUGAGGAGCUUUUUUCUCCGUCCUAUUACAGGAGUGGCACAAGAAGUGACAUUUACAUGUUUGCACAGACAUAGGCUUAAACCCAUAGCCUGGCAUGCCUCGACAUCCUCGUCUCCUAUACAUUUUAUCUCUGAUAGAACACUGAGGCUUAAAGUGUUUAAGGAGCUUGCCCAAGAGGACGUCCUGAGUCUGCGAUGGAGCGCGCCUGGACAAGGCUGAUGGAGCGCAGAGCCUGUGCUCUUGGUGUCUAGACUCUGCCACCAGCCAUCUGCCCCCUGGGUGGCCUCACACACAGGCCUGGACUUAUUUUUAACUCCUCGAGGGAGCCCUGCCAAGGCCUCUGGCUCAGCAAUGCAGAGAGCCUGGUCAGUGGAGGAGGCCGAGGUGGCCAGUGGGAGGAGCAUGAAGAAUCCACAUGCUGCAAAUGAACCCUCGGAUAAUUUUUUUGUUUAACUGCUGGUCUCCAAAUUAAUUAUGCAUUUACUCUGAUUUCAAAUGAAGCUUAUCAUUUAGAGAUGCUCCUUGAGGAACCCUUUGUAAAGUAAUGAGUUUUGCAAAUUGGUUUUGCUUUGGAGAAGCAAAAUCCAGCACCAUCAUUUAACUUUUUGACCUCUUGGGGUUUUGUAUUUGUACCUAUUGGGUUUUCUUAAAGAAAGGCUCACUUUUCUUUAGAAAGAAUGAAACCUUCAGUGCAAGGAUGUAAAGCCUUCAACUUUUAUGCCUCAAUUUGCCUUCUGAUGGGAAUUAUAUCUAUAUUUGCUCAACUGCAUAAGCGAUCUUUCCUGUUUGGUUUUGAAAAAUGAUGGCUGUAUACUCUUGGGAUGUGAUAAGAUUUAGGGGGCACUC
Odocoileus virginianus texanus is the source of this 861-nucleotide non-coding RNA. The record is from RefSeq and is a predicted model, not a curated record. NCBI's taxonomy places the organism in Eukaryota, Metazoa, Chordata, Mammalia, Artiodactyla, Cervidae.